GGGCCCGUAGCUCAGCCAGGUAGAGCAGCGGGCUCUUAACCCGACAGGAUGGUGCAGCUGCACCAUCCUGGGUAGAGGUCCGGGGUUCGAAUCCCCGCGGGCCCGCCA
This 108-nucleotide transfer RNA is filed under the name Candidatus Bathyarchaeota archaeon. Its description in RNAcentral is "tRNA-Lys". It matches the Rfam family "tRNA". Rfam says of the family: Transfer RNA (tRNA) molecules are approximately 80 nucleotides in length. The record is from RNAcentral. Lineage: Archaea; Thermoproteati; Candidatus Bathyarchaeota.